ACACGUCGUUAAAAUAAAUUAAAAUGUUAAAUAUACUGUAUGAAUGAAACAAAAACAUAAUAAAAAAAAUAAAACAAAGAACAGAGAAAAAAGAGAAAAUAAAAACAAAGAAAAAUAUGUAGAUCUUCGCACAUUAAGAUUUGAGUCUAGUAUAUUGCACAUUCCGGAAGAGAAAUAUGAACAAAGGAACUGUUCUUCAAUCUGAUUCACACAGUCAUUCAUGGAUUUUUGAAACGCCUCCUAUUUACCAACAAUCCCAAUUAAGAGCAAGAUACCAUGGGAGCGCAUUCAAUUGUAAAAUGUAUUGUUCAACUUCGCUGGAGGAGAGAGAGAGUCAAAUGAUAGAAAGGAUAUUUUGAAUUUAAAAUGUAUAAAAUGAUAGAAUUAUUUAAGAUCCC
Molecule: long non-coding RNA, 398 nt
Organism: Condylostylus longicornis
Lineage: Eukaryota; Metazoa; Arthropoda; Insecta; Diptera; Dolichopodidae
Exons: 3
Source: RefSeq, a predicted model, not a curated record